AAUUCUCAACCUUCCCGGCUUUUUUAAAGUCAGUUAGGCUUGGAUUGUGGGAGCUGUUGGUUUAACACGAAUCAACUCUUCUUAAAUGUAUUAGCAGUCCUUUGCUGACUAUCAUUAGUAUGAUAAUUAUCUAUACUAUUGAAAAUCAGUUUCCCUAGUGGAGAGGCUCUGCUUUCUAAUCGUCUUUCGAGACAAUUCUGACAA
This 204-nucleotide unclassified non-coding RNA is filed under the name uncultured Entoloma. RNAcentral's name for it is "sequence contains ITS2". The record is from RNAcentral. Lineage: Eukaryota; Fungi; Basidiomycota; Agaricomycetes; Agaricales; Entolomataceae.